UUUAGGUCAAUUGAAUUCUUGGGCAAGCAUCCACGAUCCGUGGGCCAGAAGUCCAUACCCCGGGUAUUUUCCCAAAUCAACUCUGUCAAAACCCUAAUAAACCGUUUCUCGUGGCGGGUCGCAUCGCCAUUUGUAUCCAUCCGAGUAAGGGUACAUUCAUCGGACCAGUUCUUCCUUCAGUUUUAGCAGUGGCUUCCAUACCGAAUCUAGGCUCUUCCUUUGGUGAUCAAAUAAGAAUCGCUUAUUACACUAGCGUGUUUUUUAUAAAGGAGAUAAACUAGUGUUACUCUACAAGGAGAUUACACAGGCAAAUAUGGACUUCUUAGUUUCCUGGUUGGGCAAUAUGCAAAACAGGAGAUCAUGGAUAUGGAAUAAAAAAAGUAAUUUGGAUAAGAGUAUCUAGAAGCAUAGAUAUUGCUUUUAAAGUACACAAAUAUUCAGCUGAUAACAAUCAAAUGGCCCCUCGAGGUAUGAGUAGUGUGUGCUCAUUUCCUAUACAAAGACCUUGAGGACAUGCAACAAGUGGGCAGUAAGACUGGCAGGUCUCUUGGUCAAAUGUCUCUCCAACUCUUUUACGCCAAGUAUUAUCAUAUUGAUGGUAAUUUGUGACCCCUCAGUGGUCGUAAUUAUUUACAUUAGGGUGUAAAAGGUACUCUAUUGAUCUAUUUUCUUGUGAAUUUGUAUUCCUGAUGUUUGGCACUUUUAGGAUAAUGGUAGCUGGUCAGUUCCAUUCAUUACUAUUGUAAUUCUCAAUGACUAUCGACUUGACUUGUACGGUCACACUUAUUAGGCACUUGUAUGAGAGAGAUUAAUUCAACCAUAAUCCAUGUAGAAGGCUGCUAUAAUCUGUCAAUCUGAAACAAGGAUUGGGAGAAUCACAUUUCUAGAGAUCACACAAUUUAUAUUGGUAUCAAAAAGAGUAAAAGAAAGAUGUAGAAAUGGUAGUUUAUUAAUUCAGCAAUGUGUAUGCAGUUAUAAAGAAGGGAGGGUAUGAUAGGAUUUGCAUGCGGUUUUCUCCCACAUCGUCUGCAAAGCAAAAAACCGUUCUUUUGUUAAUCUAUUUAGCGGUCUCUACUUAUGAACUUCAACACAGCUAUGGGGCCCGCCUAAGUGCGGGCCCUUGAUGGCUCACAUUACCUUGUUGGAAGGUCCUUCCAAUGAGUUGCAGUAUGCUGCAAAUCUUGUCUGCGCGUUUGCUGGAAAGUAGGGAUCCAGGUAAUGUAACUUCUCCCUCAAGCCCUUGUUCCAUUAUAUUAGUUUUGUCCUUUUUCUGGUUUUCAUUUUCUUUGAUUUUUAUGAUAAUUGUUCAUCCUUCACUUUAUAUCCUUGGUAUAUGCCUAUAAGUUUCCUUUCUUUCUGUCUCUUACCUUUGGGCGUUAUGUUUUUCUUAUUUUUGUUGAAAUACAUUUGGAAAGAAAGAGAACUAAAUUAAGUAUAAGCUCUUAACACAUAUGAAGUUUCUCGUUCUUCUUUCAGAUUUACCAGUUUCAAUAAAAGCUUUUGGUUCUUAUUUUCCCUUCUUGUGCAUCUAUUUUGAACGUCUUCAUUCUUUUAGUUCCAGUACGACAUCUAUCUUAAACCUCAGUUAAAAAGCUUCAUCUGAACAAGAACAGAAAAGGCAUGUACUGACUAAUUGAACGGUUUUGUUGACCCAAAUAUUAGAAGUUUUCACUGGUUCUGCUCUCAAUCUGGGUUUAUCUUGAAUGAUUUGGAUAGUCGGUGAAUGUUUGAUGGUAUAUGGAUUUGUUUCUUCGCUGAUUUUAAAUGAUAAGAUUCUUGUUUCUUGUUCUGAGAAUCUUGGAUAAGAUCUCAAAGCUAAUCCUAUGGCGGUGUUCUAAAUUUCUCUUUUAGAUGUUUAACAUAGUUGACAUUUUUAAAUACAACAUAGCUAGCAAAAAGAACAUGCUUUAUACCUGCUGACAUCGGCUCAUCUGACUUAUUAUUUGCCAAUUUUCCUAUUUUUUCCUGUUAUAAAAUAUUAAUUGGUUUUUACCUCAUAUAAAUAACAUCUAGUUUUUUAAUCCUUCAAAGAUGAUUGACUGAAAUCCAGAUUGGUUAAUUCUAAUACCGAAAGGAACUUGUCUCCUGGAUAUAAGCAGUGAUUCUUCAUAAAUUUUCUGAUUUAUCAUGUCUGCUAACCUUAAAGGUCUGACAACGCAAAUGUAGAAAAUAAUUAUUUUUUGGCCACAUUUGUCCUUAGUGUCCUUCAACAUUGUCAUCCUGUCAUUCAGCCUGGAUUGGUAUGAAAUUUGUUGCAGCAGCCUCUUCACAAAAUUCUGUUUACCACACCCCUUGAUGACAAUGUGUGACGAUGUAAAGUUAUAGUAUAUCGGUUAUUAACAUGUCUCAGAUUCGAAAUAGUUUUGUCUUUAAUUCCAUUAAUGAACUCUGUAUACCACAAGUUUACCAAAUAUUAGAGAACGACACUAUCCAUACAGCCGGAACCUCAUGGAUGCACAAAGUUAGAAACACAAUGCAUUCCUCAUAUGUGCAAAGUCAGUUUUUACAUCAUUUAAGCUCUCAUAUACCUGUUUCCUAUAGAUCCACAUUAGUGCUAAUGAAGAACAUCCCAGCUGUGUGCUUGGCAUCAUUCACUGUAAUCUGGACUAAUUUGACACUCCCACCACAGCUGUGUUGCCUAUUGCAAUGUAACAGGAAGUAGCACAUUUCACAUGAAGCACCAGCAGACAAUUGACUUGUGUGAUCCUUUGCUUUCUCAGGUUCCUGGCUGUCAGCACCCCUCCCCAUCUGCGAUCCAAGCAAUUAAACACACCUUUCUUGGUGCUAUCCCACCUGUGACUCAAGCAAUCAAACAAACCCUUCUUCUUGUUGCCUGAGUUACAAAUCCAGGCUAUUAGACAACCACUAUUGGUGCUCGAGGUAUCCCAUCUGUGAAUCGAGCAAUUAAACACACCUUUCUUGGUGCUAUCCCACCUGUGAUUCAAGCAAUCAAACAAACCUUCUUGGUGCUGCCCGAGUGACAAAUCCAAGCUAUUAAACAACCUUUCUUGGUGCUCAAGGUAUACCAUCUGGGAAUCAAGCAAUUAAACACACCUUUCUUGGUGCUCAAGGAAGUAGUCCACACUAUCAACCGUGCAUUUGCACAUGAAGCACCAUGCGUCAGCUGACAGAUGUGAUCCUUCACGCUCUCAUGUUCUCGGCUGUCAGCAUUGGACCCAAGUUGCGACCCAAGGAAGUAGCCUACAUUCUCAACUGUGAUUUUGCACAUGAAGCACCAGGUGAAAGCUGACACAUUCUGAUCCUUCGUGUUCUCGGCUGUCAGCACUGGACUGAAGCUGCAGACCAAGCUAAUAAACACACCUUUCACGGCGUUUGCUUAGGUUGGAACAAGCAUUGUUCUUCAUUUAUCACCCUACUUUGUGGGAUUAUAUUUGGAAGCAGUCCACAUUGUCAAUUGUGCAAUUGCACAUGAAGCACCAAGUAACAGCUGUAUAUGUGAUCCUUCGCAUACUCAUCUUCUCGGACAAGUCGUGGUAUAAAUGAGAGGACUUUUUCCUGGAGCCUGGUCAGUAAUACUGGAUUAGGCUGAAUUGGCAAUUAUCCAGGCUGUGGUUGCGAACUUGCUUUCUGUAAGCAAGAUUCCGAUGGAUAAACUUACUGCAGUUGUAAAAGGUAUUGAAAUUAGAACCUCAGAUUGGCGGAGUCUCUUAUCAAUCAGUGAUUUUAAGGCCCGUUUGGGAGUCAAAAAGUCCAAUGAACAACUAUGAUCCUUUCCUGAGCAAGUUGGGUUAGUUACAUAAAUCUUCACCGUGCAGGUUGAUUUAAACCCCCCUUGAUCUGAUCUAAUAUUAGUAAAAAAAAAUAGUAGCUUUGAUUUAAUCGAAGCAGUGUUACUUCAAUCAAUGGAAAAAUCUAUCAAGAAAUAAAAGAAGAGAAAUAAAGUUGCUUUUUUUCUUCUUCCGA
Molecule: non-coding RNA, 3924 nt
Organism: Solanum lycopersicum (tomato)
Lineage: Eukaryota; Viridiplantae; Streptophyta; Magnoliopsida; Solanales; Solanaceae
Source: RefSeq, a predicted model, not a curated record